GACGAACGCUGGCGGCGUGCUUAACACAUGCAAGUCGAACGGUUAAGCGCCUUCCUUUUUGGUGGGUGUGGAUGAGUGGCGAACGGGUGAGUAACACGUGAGUAACCUGCCCCCUUCUUCUGGAUAACCGCAUGAAAGUGUGGCUAAUACGGGAUAUUCUGGGUCUGUCGCAUGAUGGGUCUGGGAAAGAUAUUGUUUCGGUGGGGGAUGGGCUCGCGGCCUAUCAGCUUGUUGGUGGGGUGAUGGCCUACCAAGGCGGUGACGGGUAGCCGGCCUGAGAGGGUGGACGGUCACACGGGGAAUGAGACACGGGCCAGACGCCUACGGGAGGCAGCAGGGGGGAAUAUUGCACAAUGGGCGCAAGCCUGAUGCAGCGACGCCGCGUGAGGGAUGGAGGCCUUCGGGUUGUGAACCUCUUUCGCCAGUGAAGCAGGCCUGCCUCGUUUGUGGGUGGGUUGACGGUAGCUGGAUAAGAAGCGCCGGCUAACUACGUG
This 494-nucleotide ribosomal RNA is filed under the name uncultured bacterium. Its description in RNAcentral is "partial 16S ribosomal RNA". It matches the Rfam family "Bacterial small subunit ribosomal RNA", at positions 28 to 507 of the family's 1533-position model. The record is from RNAcentral.